AAGCAAUUUAGAUAGGUAAACCGUUUCCAGAAAACGUAUACAUCCUGAUGUAUGUGAGUGAUCGAGGCUUUAUUUAAGUCCUUGUAACAUUAAGUUUUUAAAGUCAGAAAUACAAAACAAUUAGUGAGAAACCAACUAAAUACAGUUAAUCCCUACUCCUACUCCUAAAUCUCAAGAGAGUCAUAUUGCUUUGGGGAAACAUCUCAGUGACUAAUAGAACAAAAUCCAGAUUAUAAAAACAUAUUUGAAAUGGUUAAUUUCUGUGUAUUCCCAUGAGCCCCAAUCACCCUGUAUUUUGUAAAUGUGGCCUCAUAGUUCCUUUGGCCGGGCUGCCUCUCAGGACCCCAGGUAGGACUUGCCUCCCUGUAUAGCAUCCUGGAUUUUUGCUGUUUGGUAUGAGUGAUUUUCAGGCUUUGCUUACCUUCCAUGUCAUCUGCAUGUGAGACUAGCUGAUUUUGUUUCCUAAUUUGCAAGUAGAAUGUGAUUGGAAUGCGACUUCACAGGUAGUGAAGAAUAUUGGCAAGGGCUCCACUUAAUGUUACUGUGCAACUUUGGUGAGGGCGUUUAAUAAAGAGGAUUAACGUUACCUAUUUACCUGAGUGUGAGCUGACCAUGUGCCUUUUCUUUUGUGAUCCACUGAACUACUGACUCUACUUGUGCUUGUCUUUCUGUUUAUUUUUACCAUUCCCUGUGUGAAUAGCUAGAAAUGGGAAUGGAAUGUUCAGUUCUUUCUGUAAGUGUUCCUGUCAGUCAAGGCAGCUUAUGACUAGCUCUCUCCAUUUGUUUCAGUGAACAGCCUAUCCCGCUCCAAGUAUUGUUAAGCCAAGAGGCCCAACUGGAAUCCGGCAUGGAUACAGAGUUUGGGGCCAGUUCUUUCUUCCAUUCACCUGCUUCCUGCCAUGAGUCACACUCAUCACUAUCUCCAGAGUCAUCUGCCCCACAGCACAGCUCCCCCAGUAGAUCUGCCUUGAAGCUUCUGACUUCGGUUGAAGUAGACAACAUUGAACCCUCUGCAUUCCACAGGCAAGGUUUACCUAAAGCACCAGGGUGGACUGAGAAGAAUUCUCAUCAUAGUUGGGAGCCAUCGGAUGCCCCAGAGGGUAAGCCGCAAGGCUCUAGGUGUGACAACAGCAGUUGCAGCAAGCUCCCUCCACAAGAAGGAAGAGGCAUUGCUCAAGAACAGCUGUUCCAAGAAAAGAAGGAUCCUGCUAACCCCUCCCCGGUGAUGCCUGGAAUAGCCACCUCUGAGAGGGGUGAUGAACACAGCCUAGGCUGUCGUCCUUCAAAUUCAUCAGCUCAGCCCAGCCUUCCCCUGUAUAGAACCUGCCACCCCAUAAUGCCUGUUGCUUCUUCAUUUGUGCUUCACUGUCCUGAUCCUGUGCAGAAAACUAACCAAUGCCUCCAAGGCCAAAGCCUCAAAACUUCAUUGACUUUAAAAGUGGACAGAGGCAGUGAGGAGACCUAUAGGCCAGAGUUUCCCAGCACAAAGGGGAUUGUCCGUUCUCUGGCUGAGCAGUUCCAGAGGAUGCAGGGUGUCUCCAUGAGGGAUAGUACAGGUUUCAAGGAUAGAAGUUUGUCAGGUAGUCUAAGGAAGAACUCUUCCCCUUCUGAUUCUAAGCCUCCUUUCUCACAGGGUCAAGAGAAAGGCCACUGGCCAUGGGCAAAGCAACAAUCCUCUCUGGAGGGUGGGGAUAGACCACUUUCCUGGGAAGAGUCCACUGAACAUUCUUCUUUUGCCUUAAACUCUGGGCUGCCUAAUGGUGAAAUUUCUAGCGGAGGACAGCCCAGGUUGGCAGAGCCAGACAUAUACCAAGAGAAGCUGUCCCAAGUGAGAGAUGUUAGGUCUAAGGAUCUGGGCAGCAGUACUGACUUGGGGACUUCCUUGCCUUUGGAUUCCUGGGUGAAUAUUACAAGGUUCUGUGAUUCUCAGCUUAAACAUGGGGCACCUAGGCCAGGAAUGAAGUCCUCCCCUCAUGAUUCCCAUACGUGUGUAACCUAUCCAGAGAGAAAUCACAUCCUUUUGCAUCCACAUUGGAACCAAGACACAGAGCAGGAGACCUCAGAAUUGGAGUCUCUGUAUCAGGCCAGUCUUCAGGCUUCUCAAGCUGGCUGUUCUGGAUGGGGGCAGCAGGAUACCGCCUGGCACCCACUUAGCCAAACAGGCUCUGCAGAUGGCAUGGGGAGGAGGUUGCACUCAGCCCAUGAUCCUGGUCUCUCAAAGACUUCAACAGCAGAAAUGGAGCAUGGUCUCCAUGAAGCCAGAACAGUGCGUACUUCUCAGGCUACACCUUGCCGAGGCCUCAGCAGGGAGUGUGGGGAGGAUGAGCAGUACAGUGCAGAGAAUUUACGUCGCAUCUCACGCAGUCUCAGUGGCACCGUUGUCUCAGAGAGGGAGGAAGCUCCGGUUUCUUCCC
Molecule: long non-coding RNA, 2414 nt
Filed under: Pan troglodytes (chimpanzee)
Lineage: Eukaryota; Metazoa; Chordata; Mammalia; Primates; Hominidae
Description: long non-coding RNA NONPTRT002225
Source: RNAcentral